AUGUUCUCCCAGACUCAGCUGCUCUGGCUACUGGCGCUGUGGAUUCCGGACUCCUAUGGGCAGGUCACAAUGACUCAGUCUCCAGAAUCCCUCUCAGUGUCUCUGGGACAAAAAGUCACCAUCAGAUGUACAGCCAGUUCUAGCCGUGAUAGCCACUAUGUCUCCUGGUACCAACAGAAACCCGGACAAGCUCCUAAGCUCCUUAUCUAUUGGGGCUCUACACUUGAAUCUGGGGUCCCAGCCCGGUUCAGUAGCAGUGAGUCUGGCACCGAGUACACUCUCACAAUCAGCAGCGUUGAAGCCGAUGAUGCAGCGGAUUAUUAUUGUCUGCAGACUGAGAGUUCACCUCUCACAGUAUAUUCGUAA
Molecule: non-coding RNA, 366 nt
Organism: Chrysemys picta bellii (western painted turtle)
Lineage: Eukaryota; Metazoa; Chordata; Testudines; Emydidae
Source: the annotation of a RefSeq genome assembly